UACGUAGGGUGCGAGCGUUAAUCGGAAUCACUGGGCGUAAAGGGCGCGUAGGUGGCGGCCCAAGUCCAUGGUGAAAGCUCGAUGCUCAACAUCGAGUCGGCCACGGAUACUGGGUUGCUCGAGCACUGUAGGGGCAGAUGGAAUUCCGGGUGUAGCGGUGGAAUGCGUAGAGAUCCGGAAGAACACCAGUGGCGAAGGCGGGUCUCUGGACAGUUCCUGACACUGAGGCACGAAGGCCAGGGGAGCAAACGGG
Molecule: ribosomal RNA, 253 nt
Filed under: uncultured bacterium
Lineage: Bacteria
Description: partial 16S ribosomal RNA
Rfam family: Bacterial small subunit ribosomal RNA
Source: RNAcentral